CACAUUUGCAGCUCCAGGAUGUGCCCUUCUCUCAAAACUCUGUGCCUUAGUUGUGCCCUGUGACUACACACCUUUCUUUUACUUCUGGCCAGCACCUCCUGAGAGAUAGAAGAAAUAGGAGAGGAGAGAGCAAGACAUUUGUCAGCUGAAAAGCAGAUAGAAGGGAAGAAACAUUUUUAGCAAACGAGAAAUCCCAAUCUUAAACCAACAGCAGGAAAAACAGAACCAACCUGAUUUACACAGCACAAUACUCAAAAGGCGCCACAAAAGGAACUAUAGGUACCUCUAGAAUGGAAGGUAAUUGGCUAAAAUAAGGAGUCUUGGUAAAAACUGAGAAUCAGGAAGAUCCAUUGUUCCCUCUACAUCUGGAGAAUAUUUCCUCUAGAGAGGGAAAAAGAAACAAUCUUUGCAUUAGAAGUUGACUGGCCCGCCGGGCGUGGUGGCUCACACCUGUAAUCCCAGCACUUUGGGAGGCCAAGGCAGUUGGAUCACCUGAGGUCGGGAGUUUGAGACCAGCCUGACCAACAUGGAGAAACCCCAUCUCUACUAAAAAUGCAAAAUUAGCCGGGUGUGGUGGUGCAUGCCUGUAAUCCCAGCUACUUGGGAGGCUGAGGCAGGAGAGUUGCUUGAACCUGGGAGGAGGAGGUUGCAGUGAGCAGAGAUCAUGCCAUUGCACUCCAACCUGGGCAACAAGAGUGAAACUCCAAAGAAGUUGACUGGCCCAGCUGAGGGCAGGGAUACUUUUAUCAAAAAUAAUUGGAGUCUGAGGGUAAGUGAUCAUACACAUACUGAAUAAUGAAUGCUGACACUCUAUAAAGGCUGGCAGCAACACCUUUACCUGCUAGGCAGGCAACAGGAAAUGUAUUCUCUGGGGGAAUCUAAAUAGCUCAAUAGGAAAAACUUCGAAGAUACCAACAUUGAAAGUCUCCUACAAAUAGCCCAAUGAGAUCACUCUUCAGUGAUGCUCUAAGUUGACAGGCCCCAUAACUACUCCCAAAGCUUCCAGUCAGCUUUCAAAUCCCACUGCUAAUCAUGAAGAGACAUCUAACGAGUAACAUAUCUGAGGAAAGCAUCUAACAUGGAAGAGAUACCAAAAUAGAAAAACAAUUUGGAAGAAACAAAAACCAGCAGGGGGAAAAAACUUAUAAAGUAAACUGUCACUAAUAUUUUCAGAGAGAUACAGGAAGACAUUGCAUCCAUGAAACAAGAACAGGAAGCUGUUAAAAACAGAAACAAUCAGAAAACAGAAAAAGAACUCCUAGAAAGUAGAGCAAAAUGACAGAGAUGAAAAGUAGGAGCAAAAAUCAAAUCCAGGUCAUCCAAUAUUCAAACAAUGGAAAUUCCAGAAAGAGAAGACACAGAAUACAGAAGAAAGGAAAUCAUGGGUGAAAUAACUCAAGAAAAUUUCCACACCAGAAUGUCAUGUUUCCAGAUUGAAAGUCCCCACACAGGAUGAAAACAAACACAUGCUAUUACAAAUCUUUUUUUUUUUUUUUUUUGAGACAGUGUCUCACUCUAUCACCCAGGCUGGGGUGCAGUGGCACGAUCUUGGCUCACCCGCAACCUCCACCUCCUGGGUUCAAGCAAUUCUUGUGCUUCAGCCUCUAGAGUAGCUGGAAUUACAAGCACAUACCACCAUGCCGGGCUCAUAUUUUUUUUGUCUUUUUAGUAGAGACAGGGUUUUGCCAUGUUGGCCAGGCUGGUCUUGAACUCCGGACCUCAAAUGAUCUGCCCACCUUGGCCUCCCAAAGUGCUGGGAUUACAGGCGUGAGCCAUGGCACCUGGCCACUGUUACAAAUCUUUACGUUAUUUCAGAACACUGGAGAUAAGAUCCUAUAUAGUCUUCAAGGAGAGGAAGAAAACAGCUCAUUCAUACACAAAAGAUUAGACAAAUCAGCGCUUUGGAAUUCUCCACAGCAACACUGGAAGCUAGAAGAUAAUGAAGCAAUGUCUUCAAAAUUCCAAGAGAAAAGUUUUCUAAUCUAUACUCAAAUUAUCUGUAAAAAUUAGGGUAAAGUCUUAAAAAUAGGUUAGGCACGGUGGCCCACACCUGUAAUCCCAGCAAUUUAGGAGGCCGAGGUGGGUGGAUCACCUGAGAACCUACUCUGUAUAUUCACCAAAAUGAGGGAAUAAAUCAAGAAAGAGGAAACUGUGGGGUAUAGAAAACAAAAGAUACAACCCAAAGGAGAAGCAAAGGAAAUCUUUAGGAUUACCACUGUGCAAUGAGUUUAAAAAGGUAACUAGUACAGACUAAAGCAACAUGACUCAAGAAGCAGGCGUUUUGAGGUCUGUCUUCACAAUGUUUUCUGCUGUGUCUUCCUUUUAACCUAAAGGAACUACUGGAAAAUAUGCUUCACCAACACAAGAAAAUAUACCAAGAAAGAGGAAGGCCUGAGUCUCAGGAUAUAAGGAAUACAUGCCAGGAGAAUGGUAAAGGCAAUUCCAAAUUUGAGAGCAAGAGGAGUCCAAGGAUAACACUACAGCAAGUCCAGAAAGCACCAGCCCCAUAUAGAAGUCCCCAGGAGAGAGGGCUCAAAGGAAAACAGUUAGAAUGGCUAGAUUACCCAGUAUGGGUGGUCUAUGGGAAAAUGUACUGAGACACUAUUAUGGGAAGACAUGGGAAAAAUUAGCAAUAAUUAAAAAAAAGCACCAACCACAUGAAAAAAAUCAAGGCAUAUUUUACCCGAGGGAAAAAUAGCAAGGUAAUAGAAAACAAGGAGAGCCUGAGAAACUGUCACAACCAAGAGCAGAAGGAGUCAUGACAACUCAGUGUAUCCUGGAUGUGGUAUCCUGGAAGGGGUCCUGGAACAGAAAAAACGCAUUAAGCAAAAACAAAUGAAAUCUGAGUAAACAACAGACUUUAGCUAAUAAUAAUGUCUCAGUAUUUAUUUAUUAGUAGUAACAGGUGUACUAUACUAACAUGUUGAUAGAAGAAAUGGUGCAGGGUAUAUGAGAACUCUAUAUGUAUUACCUUCACAUUUUUUCCGUAAAUCUAAAACUUCUAAAACAGUUUAUUUUUUAAAAAAGGAAGAAAAUCACAAUACACUUCAACUUUUAGCUUUGAAUAAUAUUUGCAUAGGCACAAUAAUGCAAACACUGAUUUAACAAAAAGAUUGCAAUGUAACUACAUUGAAAGGGUGGGGAAGAAAUGUGUAAAGCAGAGAGAUGGCAGAGUGAGAGAACCAAACUCAUUUACCAUAAAAAA
Gorilla gorilla gorilla (western lowland gorilla) is the source of this 3205-nucleotide long non-coding RNA. RefSeq lists it as uncharacterized. Lineage: Eukaryota; Metazoa; Chordata; Mammalia; Primates; Hominidae. The transcript has 3 exons. The record is from RefSeq and is a predicted model, not a curated record.